GACGAACGCUGGCGGCGUGCUUAACACAUGCAAGUCGAGCGGUAAGGCCCUUUCGGGGGUACACGAGCGGCGAACGGGUGAGUAACACGUGGGUGACCUGCCCUCAGCUCUGGGAUAAGCCUGGGAAACCGGGUCUAAUACCGGAUAUGACUCCAUGACGCAUGUUGUGGGGUGAAAGCCUUGUGCGGCUGAGGAUGGGCCCGCGGCCUAUCAGCUUGUUGGUGGGGUNAUGGCCUACCAAGGCGACGACGGGUAGCCGGCCUGAGAGGGCGACCGGCCACACUGGGGACUGAGACACGGCCCAGACUCCUACGGGAGGCAGCAGUGGGGAAUCUUGCGCAA
Molecule: ribosomal RNA, 342 nt
Filed under: uncultured bacterium
Lineage: Bacteria
Description: bacterial SSU rRNA
Rfam family: Bacterial small subunit ribosomal RNA
Source: RNAcentral